AGAGAAGAAGACAUUCAGGGAGACACCAAGCCAGGGAGGUGACAAGUAUGUGGUAAAAUCCGAGCACGCAGAAUUUGGGGGAACAGGACUCUAGACUGCCUCUAGAGAGAGCUGUAUUGAAGGCCCUGCGACCCAGCACAGAGAAGGGAAUGGUGCUCUAGGUCCCUGCCUCUGCAGAAGACAAAUCCAGGAAGAGAACCAGGAAACUGCAGAGUAGCCAGCCACAUGCGAGAAAAAUCUGAAGGAGACGAAAAUGUUUCAGGAGAAAGGGCUUUUCAACUGGUGCAUAAUUUAGGUUAAAGUUUCUGAGCAGCUCUGGACUGCAAAAGGGCCUCCCUUCACUGAGCAGAUGUAUAUGACCCCGUGCUUCUCCGAUUCAUACCAAACUUCAGAGAAACUCCGGGAAAGGUUCCUUCUGUAUUUAUGGAUGAGAAUUAUGUGAAGCCUCUACAACCAUCGUAGUUCAUAUCUCCAGAGAGAGGUAUAAUUUGCAGUGAAGUGCACAAAUCAGUGAAAUUUUACGUAUGCAACCUUUAUCACUCACCACCCAAACCAGAGUGGUGUCUUCCCAACACCCCAGGGCCUCUAGUCCUUUUCCAGCGUUGCCUGAAGACACAAACUACUGAUGGCUGCAUCCACAUGACUGACUUCAAACACAGCACGCUGCAGGAGAAAAGCCGGAUACGCGCGUGGAAAGUGGGUGGCUCCACCACCCUGCUGUUCAGGUUUUCUUUCUGAAAGUUCUUUUGGCUUUAUUAUGGAAUAGAGGUUACAGAAAGGCAAAAGCUUUGGCCGUAGCGGGUGGGAAGAUCUUCCUUACCCUGGAGGAGGAAGUAGGGUCUCCGUAAUGUAUGUGUGGUACUCAGGGCUCCCGGCAGCCCGAAGCCAGAGUGUGUCCUCACCCUGCCCCGGGUCAGCCCUGUGACCUGGAGGGAGCAACUGAAAAGCUCUGGGCCUCGGAUUCCUCAUCUGUGAAAUGGGGAUGCUAACAGUGCUACCUCCUCUGGUUGGUUUGUGGCAGAGGACACAUGAGGCAACCUGUGUAAAAUGCUUGGAGGGUGGCCAGUGUGGUUACCAUGGAGAUUGACUGGUACCGUCUUCCACAUCCUGUGUUGACUAAGCGCGCACACCAGAAUACAGUUCCAAACGAUUAUCAAACAUGAAUACAAUUCAGAAAAUAAACAUGCAGCAAAACUUGCCAUAAAGAUUGCAUGAAACUAUCACUUUAAGAAAAAUACAUUAAAAAUUACCUUAAAUACCGAAAAGUACUUUUGUAAGUAAGGAUCAGUCCAAUAAAUUUAACCUGUAUUUGAAUCAGUGUAAAACAACUUGGUUUAUAAUUUUGUCUUCAUCGAGUGGGGGUGACUUUUGUAGCUUCUGUCACUGCUGCCUGGAGUAUAGAAUUAAACACCUUUUUGCAGAAAAAGCCUCCAGCUGUUUUUUUUUUUUUUUUUUUUUUUUUUACUCUCAGAUAAUAUGGGGUGAUUUUUAAAAGACCUGAG
Molecule: long non-coding RNA, 1502 nt
Filed under: Homo sapiens (human)
Lineage: Eukaryota; Metazoa; Chordata; Mammalia; Primates; Hominidae
Description: non-protein coding lnc-PFKP-16:21
Source: RNAcentral